UUUCUUCUGUGAGAGUAUGAUGAAGGUUAUAGCCAGAGUGGCUUGGAGGAACCCAUAUGAAAUUGCAAUAAAGAGAUUAUUAUGAGGCAACUGCUUUCCAGUCUCUUGACAAUAUCUGAAUGUGGUGUUGUUGUUAGUUGUUAGUCCAUCAUUUUCUAAGAGGACCAAGGGCAUUGUGGAAUGAUGUCUUGACAGGUGUGAAUUGGAUUGAAGUGAGGCAGAGUUGCUCUACAUCUUCUCUCUUCUAGUAGUCCAAGUCCAGUGGCAGGACAAAAAUCAGGGCAACUGGUGAUGAAUUAUAGAGCGUGCUUGUGAAUAAUAACCGGCAGCACUUUGGUUUGAUGAUUGGGAAAUAUUCAUCACACUUCCAUCAGAGCCUGGUAGGCUGCUUCAAAGACUAAACGGAGAAAGGAAGAAGAGCCAAGGGAAAAGACUGAGAAGUAACAAAGAAGUAGGAGGGAAAUGACACUUAAGGAUAACAGAAGAAAAGGAAUGAUUAAGUUUCAAGAAGAAGGGCAUGGUCCAUAGUGUUAAAUUGUGCAGAGAUGCUGAGGAGAAUGAGAACUGAAAAAAGACUACUGGAUGUCGCAGUUAAGAAGUCCCCGGAAAGCUUGGUAAAAAAAUCGUUUCAGGAGAGUGAUGGUAAUGAAAGCCAAGGUCAGAAGGAAGAGUAAUAGUGAGGAAAUGAAGACAGCAACAGCACUCCUUAGAGAAGUUUUAUUGUGAAAGAACAUGAAAAUGGCACUGUGGUGUAGCAAACAGAAUACUGGGCUUAGAGUAAAAAAAUACCUGGGUUCAUAUUGUGCCUCUAAUACUGGCUGCAUUAGUACAGUCAAGUCACUUUAAACUCUCUGAGCCUCAGUUUUCUCAUCUAUAAAAUAUACAUCAUAAAUUUGGAAGCACUUACUUGGCAGAGUUGUUGUGAGACUCUAAUUAGAUAAUCAUAAUAAUGUGCUUUAAAACCUUUAAAAGCAUAAAUAUCACCUAAUAUUUUUCCAGUGUCUUAUGUUAGUUUUCAGUUGUUUCAUUCAUGACCAACUCUGACUCAUUUGAGGUUUCAUAGGCAAAGGUACUGGAGUGGUUUGCCACUUUCUUUUUUAGCUCAUUUUAUAUACAGGGAAACCUAGGCAAACAGAGUUAGUUGACUUGCCCAGGGUCACACAGCCAAUAUAUGUCUGAGUUCAUAUUUGAACUCAGGAAGAUGAAUCUUCCUGACUCUAGACCUGAAUUCUAUCUAUUGCACCACCUAGCUGUCCCAAUGCCUUAUACAGAGUAGGUUUUUGAUAAAUGUUUGUUGAAUUUUUCAUUUGAAUUGGAUCUCCUAUUGUGUGCCUUUCCAUGAACUCUCUCUUCUGUGUUAAGGGUUGUAAAGAUGAAAUAAGGCAUGACUCCUGGAGCCCAUACUCAUGGUAGGGACACAAGACUCAUGAACAUGAAACAAUAAGAAAACAUUAGGCAACUAGGAGGUUUAUUGGAUAGAGCACCAGACCUGGAAAUAGGAGGUCCUGUAUUCAAAUUUGACCUCAGACACUUCUUAGCUCUAUAAUCCUGGACUUAACCCCAAUUGCCUAGCCCUUACUACUUUUCUGGUUUGGCAUCCAUAUUUAGUAUUGCUUCUAAGACAGACAGGGGGAGAGAGACACAGAGAGAGAGACAGAGAGAGACAGAAAGACAGAGAUAGAGAGACAGAGACAGACAGAGACAGACAGAGAGACACACACAGAGACAGAGACACAGAGAGAGAGAGACAGAGACACAGAGGGGGGAAAGGGAGAGAGGAGAAGAAGAAGAAGAAGAAGAAGAAGAAGAAGAAGAAGAAGAAGAAGAAGAAGAAGAAGAAGAAGAAGAAGAAGAAGAAGAAGAAGAAGAAGAAGAAGAAGAAGAAGAAGAAGAAGAAGAAGAAGAAGAAGAAGAAGAAGAAGAAGAAGAAGAAGAAGAAGAAGAAGAAGAAGAAGAAGAAGAAGAAGAAGAAGAAGAAGAGAAAAGAAAAGGGGGGCAGCUGGGUAGUUCAGUGGCUUGAGAGCCAGACCUAGAGACAGGAGGUCCUAGGUUCAAAUUUGAUCUCAGACACUUCCCAGCUGUAUGACUCUGGGCAAGUCACUUGAUCCCCAUUGCCUAGUCCUUACUACUCUUCUGCCUUGGGAACCAAUGCACAGAAUUGAUUCUAAGAUGGAAGGUAAGGUUUAAAAAAAAAUAAAAAAAAUAAAAACAUGUCAAACAAUGGGUUGGGCCAGAGAUCCAUGGUUUGAUAAAAAUGUCCAUAUAUUGCUCUGUUCUAUGAAUUCACUUGACAAGAAAAAAGAGAUAGCUUACAGGGAUUGUAGAAGCAGUCAAGAUAAUUUUAUAGAAUCACAGAAUUAUAGAGUAACAGAGUUGGUAGUCAACUCCAAAGCCAUCUUGUUCAAGAUAUACUGGAAAAAGAAUCCCUUCUUCAAUGAAGUAGAAAUGACUACCUGCUUGUGUGAGCCUUUUGUAUAGCUCUGUUAAGAAGCUUUCCUUGUGUAGCACCUAAAUCUAUAUUAUUGGCAUUUUAAAAAAUGUUUGAGUUUCAAAUUCUCUUCCUUUCUCUCUCUCUCCUUUUCUUUCCCCCUCCCUGAGAUGGUAAGCAAUCUGAUAUUGAUUUUACAUGUGCAUUCAUAUAAAACAUUUUUUUUUAUUUUAGUCAUUUUGUAGAAGAAAACUGGAACCAAAAAAACAAAGAAAAUGAAAUACAGAAUGUUUGGGUCUGCAUUUCAAACUCCAUCACUGUUUUCUCUGGAAAUGGAUGAUAUUUUUCAUCAUGAGUUUUUGGGAUUGUAUUGAAUCCCUGUAUUGCUGAGAACAAUUAGGUCACUCACAGUUGUUCAUCAAACAAUAUUGAUAUUGCUAUAUACAGUGUUCUACGCCUGUUCUCUUUACUUUGUAUCAGUUCAUGUAAAUUCUUCCAGGUUUCUCUGAAAUUGCCCUGCAAGUCAUUUCUUACAGCACAACAGUAUUUCAUUACAAUCAUAUGCCAUGAUUUGUUCAGUCAUUCCCCAGUUGAUAGUUAUCCAUUAUGAGCAUUUCUAUCCAUGGCCUUCGAGAGCCAUGGAGAACAAGUCUGCUCUUUCGUGGGACUGAUAAACCUGAUAGUAUUGGAAGGCAACGUUGUUUACUCUAAUACCACGGAAGGCAGUGAGCCUCCGUUAUAUGUCAGCACUUUUCAGUGAAUCUUGAGGCUCAGAGUACUUUGACUUUUUCAUUGUUUAGCUUUCUAUCCUAAGAAGCUUCCAGGAGAAACAAAUUAAUUCAGGCUGAUUAUCAAAUGCUUUUCAAAAGUGGUAAGAAUGGAACUAGUUGUUUCUGACAUGGGCCCUAAACCAAGAGGUAGAGGUACCUGGAGAGUGAACAUUCUACUUCCCAUUUGAGAAGGGGGCAGUAUCAAAAACAAAAGAGGGAGUGAAACAAGCAGAACCAAGAGAACAUUAUGUACAGCAACAAAAUAUUCUUUGAAGAAUGGCUUGUGUCUACCUCCAGAAAAAGAACCAAUAAAUAGAAAUAAGGAAAACAGUUUUAUAUAUACAUAUCUCUUUUUGUCAAAGGAUGCUGCCUCUGAUGGGGGGGGGAGUUAACUAAAUAUCUCAAUAUUUUAAAUGUUACAAACAAACAAAUGAAUAUUUUUUUAAAACUGAGAAGCAUAUAUUGCACCAUUGGCUGUGGGAAGAGUGGGUGGAGGGGAGGGAGGGAAACAAUGUGAUUAUUGUAACCAAGGAAUAAUGUUCUAAAUUGACUAAAUAAAUUUAUUCAAAUGGAAAAAAUAAUGGAAAAAACCUGAGAAGCAUAUAAAAGGAUUAGGAAGUAGAACCUGAAGAGAUAGGCUCAAAAAGGAGAAGAUAGUUGGCAAAGCAAAUAAGAAAAGGUAAAGUACCUGUAAGAGUAAAAAGGUAAAAGGUAAGUAACAAGGAGAGAGUAAAGCAAAUUGGUAGAGCGGUUUGGUGAAUGGGACAAGUUGGUGGAACAAGAGAUUGAUAUAAGAGGAAGCAGUUGUGGCUGCAAAAUUACUAUUGAUUCUAAGGAAAGGAAGUUGACUGAGACUUUCAAGUUAUUACGAGCAAUAAAUUAUGUAAAUAUUUUAACCAGGUGCUUAGGAUUUAAGCUACAGUAGUUAAAGAAAAAAAGCUGAAAAUCACAACCAGCAUGGAGAGUAGGGGAAAUUGUACAAUGAUUUGAAUCCUGUACGUGAUGUUUUUAUUCCUGUUUCUGCUAUAACUGAGUGACUAUUAUUUUUGUUCCAAGUGUAGGCUGAACUCUCUCCUUAUGGAGGAGAGGAAGGGAUUCCACGCUCCAAGUUGUUCGGGAGAAAUGUGUUUCCAAAGGAAAUGGAAGCACAUUUUCAAUGAGGAAAAAGAAGGGAUUUGAGGUGGUAGAGGAAAGAGAUGAUCCUCAUCAGGAUGUUGAAGAGCAGAAAAGAGGAGGAAGGGAGGGGAAAAGACAGCUGCAUGAUUAGAGAUUAAAAACAGAUUUGAGUCGCUUCCUAGAGAUGAGGGUACUGGAUGUUUGUAGGAGAAAGAAGCUGAUUAUGCUCCAAAGAAUAAUAUAGUAGUACCACAGAAGUCCUCAGGGGAAAGAUCCUCUAGAAAAUAUCAGAGACAGAAGAGAAGGCAAAUGAUAGUUGGGAAUUCCAUGCUCAGGGGGAUGGAGGCAACUAACAUCAACCUGAAAACAAUAGUCUGUUGUCUUCCCAGGGCAUGUAUCCAAGACAUAAAAGAGAAACUCCCAAGACUUAUCAAAACAGAUGACAACUACCCACUACUGAUGAUUCAUGUGGGCACGAAUAUCUCUGCCAGAAGGAACUAAAGAAGUAUUGCCAACGAUUAAGUCUCAGGCAAAAAACUGAAGACCAAAGGGACCCAGGUUGUGUUUUCUUCACAGUUGCCCAUUGAAGACACAAGAUGCCAAAGAGAAAAAAUAAUUUGGUAAGUGGGCAGCUGGCUAAGAAAGUGGUGCUGGAGAAUGGGAUUUAGAUUUCUGGUCCAUGCCUUAAAAAUAGGGGUUCCUAUUCCUAGCCAGAGAUAGAGUGCAUCAGUGAAGGCUGAGUGCAUUUGCUGAAUGUUUUGCAUCUAUAAUCAAAAGGUAAUUAAACUAAAAAAAAUGAGGAACAGAGAAAACAGUUUAUAUAUAUAUAUAUAUAUAUAUAUAUAUAUAUAUAUACCCAAGUUAGAAACCACUCAGUUCAGUCAUUUUUCAGUUUUGUCCUACUCUUCAUGAACACAUUUAGGAUUUCCUUAGCAAAGAUACUGGGAUGGUUUGCUAUAUCUUUCUCUAGCUCAUUUUAAAGAUGAAGCAACUGAGGCAAACAGGAUUAAGUGACUUGCCCAGGGUCACACAGCUAGUAAGUAUCUGAGGCAUGUGAAGUCAGGAAGAUAGUCUUUCUUAUUCCAAGCCCAAGCUCUCUCCAUUGUGUCACCUAACUGCUCCCUCUAGAGAGUACCAAAGAAAAAAGGAAGAAAAAUUACUGUUGAGACACAAUUUACAAAAGACAAAAUUCAAGAAAGGAGCCAGCAGCAAAAUCUAUGACCUCAAAUAUCCAUAAAUAAAUAAACAAAAUUUAGGUAGAAAACAGGGAGGACUAAAGGUCUUAAUACAAGAAGCUAAAUUUGACCUCAGAGGUAUCAUUGAGGCUUAGUGAGGUGAAACUUAUAAUUGAACUGUGAAUCUGGCUGGGUGUUCAGAGUUUUUUGCUUCAUUCAAAACAUACAGAGUAUGUCUUUAAAGAAAAAAAUAGAAUGAAUGAACCCUUUGUAUUUAGAAAAUAUAUUCGUGUAAGGAAAUAUAGAAACUAGAGGGAAGACACAUGGUAUGCAGCACUUGGUGGAAGUUAGAGGGAGAAACAAUUUGUCAUUGGAGUAUAAUACAGAUUACCUGGACAGAAAGAGGAAACAGAUGAAGAAUUUGGAAAAUAUCAUAAGAUUGUCACAGAGGAGCUAUAAGAAGUGAUGAGAUAUUUAAAUGAUCUAGACUAUUUCUGUACUUCUUUUUCUUCUUCUUCUUCUUUGUCUCUGUCUCUGUCUCUCUCCCCCCAAAAUAAAGUAACUAAAGCUUUCUUCGCUUGUCUUAGUGAUAAUUUUCAACCUUUGAAAAACUCAGGAACCAAGAAGGAACCAAUUUAUUCUAGAUUAGAUUCUUCUAAUAGAGAAGAAUUAGUUGCUAGAAUAGAAAUGAUGGAAACCCUAGAUCGAUGUGAUUACUUUCUCUAAGAAUUUGUCAUUAAAAAGGUUGGACUAUCUGGGCAUAAUCUGACAUGCAUUCUAGACUUGAAAAAAGCAGACUUCAAAUGAUUAAGAGGAACUAUACAAAGGAUCUCAUAGACUAAAAACACUACAGGGAAAGUCAUCCCAUCAAGCAUAGGAGAUGCUCAAUACUGAAAUGGCUAAAAACUAAAAGGAAACAAUUACAUUGAGGAGGGGAAAUGAGAUUUUUCUGAAGAUUGUUGUAGAUACACAGGGACCUCACCCACCAACUUGGACUUAAAAAAGAAAUGUAUAAAUGAAGGGCAGGUAAUAGAGGAUGAAUAUAAGUGCUUGGCACAGUCCUGUAAAAAGAAUGCCAAUUGUGGAUACUAAAGUUCAGAAAGAUCACUGGUUGGUAAGAAAAGCUGAGGAUGAUCAAAUGGAGAUUUUGGAGAAUUUUUUAAAGGCUAUAUUGGGAGGGGGAGAGGAUUAAAGAAGACAUAAGACCUUUGUUUGGGGUGAACAGAAUGAUAACUGACACAGAAAGAAGUAGAGCUCCUUCUGUUUCUGUUUCCAAGGAGAAUGACCUUUAUGCUAUAAAUGACAAUAAAACUGACUAGCACAGAGUUGAUACACAAGCAAGGAGAUAGAUUAGAAAGCCUGGAGGAAGCACAGAGCCAGCUUUGAUAAAUUUCUGUCAUCUGGUCCAGAUGACCAUCAUUCUUGGACCCUGAAAGAACUUAUAGAUGGGAUUGUUUAACCACCUACAGUGAUAUUUGAAAGAUCGUGAAAAACAGGAGAGGUGUCACAAGUUUGGAGAAGAGUAGAUGUCUCAAUUAAAAAAAAAAAGGAAGAGAACAGAGUCUGCAAACCAUAGGACAGUCAGCUUGGGAAUUUCUGAAAGGAUCAUUAGAGAUCAUUCUUGAGUAUAUUGAAAGGAGAGUGGGGACAGCAUGACUUCAACAAGCACAACUCUUGUCUUAUCUAAUUCUCCUUGUUUGUCAGGAUCACUACUAAUAAAUGAGAGAAAUGCAAUAGUACCCAGCUUUUAUCAAAGCUUUUGGCAAGCUAUUGCAUGCUCUUCUUAUGGAGAAGAUAGAAUGAUAAAACAAUUAGAGGACUAUGGCAUGGAUUGGACAGCCAAGCUCAAAUAUUAAUUUUUAAUGGAUCAAUGCCAACAUGGCAGAAGGUCUUCAAGAGAGUACCUCAGUCAUCAGUACAUGGCCCUGGGGUGUAUAACAUUUUUAUCAGUGACUUGAUAAAGGGAUAGAUGGCAUGCUCAUCAGAUCUGCAGAUGACACAAAGCUAGAAAGGAUGACAGUCCAAAAGGAUCUUACCUGUCUAGAACAUUGAUUCUAUAUUUAUCCCUACUGAAUUCCAUCUUAUUAGAGAUUUAUAGUUGACAAAGAAUUAGAAACUGAAGGGCUAUCCAUCAGUUGGGGGAUGACUGAAGAAGUUGUGGUGUAUGAUUGUAAUGGAAUACUACUGUGCUGUAAGAAAUGAUGAGAAGGAUGAUUUGAGAAAAACCUGGAAAGACCUCCAUGAACUGAUACAAAGUGAAGUGAGCAGAACCAGAGAACAUUGUACACAGUGACGGCAAUAUUAUAUGAAGAACAUUAUGAAUGUCUUAGCUAUUCUUAGUAAUACAGUGACCCAAGCCAAUCCUCAAGGACUCAUGAUGAAAAACUCCAUCUGCCUCCAGAGAAAGAACCGAUGGAAUCUGAAUGAAGACUGAGACAUACUCACUUUCUUUCUUCCCUGUUUGUUUGAAUUCUAGUUCACAAAAUGACUAAUAUAGAAAGUUAUUUUAUACUCUUAAACAUGUAAAAUCUAUAUCAAAUUGUUUACUGUCUCAGGGAAGAGGGAGGAAGGCAGGGAGAGUGAGAAAAUGGCUCAAACUUUUUAAAAAAUGAAGGUUAAAAUAGUUUUCAUGUUUUGAGAAAAAAUUAAAUAGUAUUAAAACAAUAUUUCUAGUUAUGCUGGAAAAUAAUCAGGUCAGCAAAGUAGUACAAUGGACAGAGUGCUGGGCUUGGAGUCAGAAAGACGAAUUCAAAUCCAUCCUCAGAUGCUUACUAGCUACGUGACCCUGGAUAAAUCACUUAACUUUGUUUGCCUCAGUUUUCCUCUGUAAAAUGGUUUGCAGAAGGAAAUGGCAAGUGCCUUCAGUAUCUUUGCUAAAAAGAUCCCAAAUAGAGUCACAAAGAGGUGGACAUGACUGAAAUGACAGAACAACAAAAAGGGGGAAGAAUUAAUUACACAACUCCACAGUGAGGAAGACAUAGCUAGUACUUUGUCUGAAAAAAGAUGGGGUGGUUUUAGGGGCCCACAAGCUCAAUGUGAGUCAGUCAUAUGAUGUGAGUGCAAAGACAAAACAAAGAAGACGUAACACCCUAGUGCAAUGUGGAUGGCCAUAAGAGAAGCAUUUUCCAGGAAUAAGAAAAUAAUAUUCUCACUGUACUAGGUCCUCACUGGAUUCCAUCUGGAAUGCUAUGUUCAGUUUUGGGUACCACUGUUUAAAGACCGAAAAGUUCAAGACUUAGAUUCAUGAAGAUCUCAGUUCAAAUCCUGCCUGAGACACUAGCUCUGUGUCCCUGAAGGACUUAUCCUUUCUGAACCAUAGCUUGCUCUUCUGUACAGUAGGGACAAUAAGGGUACUUAAUAAUAUACCAAAUUAAUUCCUACAUUAGAACUCUGGAUUAGAAAGACCCCAAUCAAUGAAUUAUUGUGCAUUUCUGUGUCUGGGUUCUGGGUCCUAAUCUGCUGCUUUGGGGCAUUUUCUUUGUCCUUAGGAAUCCCAAAGAAUGACUUUCCAUUCAACAGAAUUCAGUUAAGAAAUAAAGGAAACGAGGGUUCUUUUCCUGUGUAAUGUCCCCCAUGACAUCAGGAUGAGGACUGUUAGAUAAUUUGACUACCUCCUAAUUACUAUUAGAGAUGUCUUGGGAUGUUUGAUGUAGGGGCUGACUAAUGAGCUUCGAAAACUAUUUGUUGGGGGCAGCUGGGUGGCUCAGUGGAUUGAGAGCCAGGCCUAGAGACGGGAGGUCCUGGGUUCAAAUCUGGCCUCAGAUACUUCCUAGCUAUAUGACCCUGGGCAAGUCACUUAGCCCUCAUUGCCUAGCCCUUACCACUCUUCUGCCUUGGAACCAACAUACAGUAUUGAUUCUAAGAUGGAAGGUAAGGGUUUAAAAAAAUAAUAGCUAUUUAUUGAGGUGCCUAACCCAGCUUUGGGGUCUCUGGUCAUUCGAGAGGGCCAUCAGCCUAUGUCAUUUUAUUGAUUACGAUGAGGGCCUAAUCAAUAAACUGAUAUAACCAAUAAACUGAUAUUCUUCCCCCCAGAUCCAUUUCUCAAGAUAAUUUUAAUCUUAACCCUUCACAGGACUGUUGUGAAGAUCAAACGAGACAGCCCAUAUUAAGCGCAUUGCAAACUUUAGCACACUAGUUGUUAUUAUCGUUUCUAGAAGACAGAGCGUCCCGUUUCAAUGAGGCAUAGAAGCCGGACUUUUGUUCUGACCCCAUCAUGCUCCCUUCCGGGGCGGGGUGGGGGUGGGGGAGGAGAUAAUGGUCAAUUUCUUCUCCCAAAGUCUCUGGCGACACUUUCACUGUCUUCAUACACUACAAGUUCUUUGAGGAUCCCCGUUUGCUGCUUACCAAUGAAAUUAAUAUGACUCUUUUAUCCUCCUCACGUUCCAGAUUCAAUCUGUGUUUUUUCAUCAGUAGAUUUGUGUUUAGUUGAUUAGUUAUUCAUGUAUAAUGCAGGAUGACAAGAGCAGCAAUACAGAGGGGUGAUUAUGGGGAACACAGCUUUAAAAGCGUUCGGGAUUUUUUGGCAGACAGGUUAGUCCAUUGUAAAUGGGACAAAGUUUUCUCCUUACCCACUCUUGGGCUAAAGCUAAAUGACAGAGAUUAGAAGAAAGGGUUCAGAUAUCCGCUCAGUGGCCCCCAAUCCCUCUCCUUUGCUCUGUAUAGAAAACAUCUCCCACAGAUCAUUCGUCUUCUUAACGCAUCAUGUCCCUAUGGAUUAAGCAGAGCAAAGGUGAGUCCUGAGAUCAGGAAAUCUCGCCCUACCACCACCACCAAAAUUGUAAAAGUGAAUGUACAGGCCUGGAGUUGGGAGAAUCUGGGUUCAAAUCUAGCCUUAGAUACUUCCUAGCUGAGUGACCUUGGGCAAGUCACUUAACCAAUUGCCUGGCUCUUGCCACUCUUCUGCCUUAGAAUGGAUACUACGAAAGAAAGUAAGGGUUGGGGGGACCCUUAAUGUAAAUAAGGGGGGAUUAUACAAAUUACAAGACAAUUUGUACAUUUAACAAAGGUUUGCUUACGUUUGAUCACCCCCUUCUCCCAAUCCCCCACCCCAUUCCAGCUGUAUUUAAGCACUUGAUAAUAAAGUCAUGGGACAGUGAGGUGGCAUGGUGGAUAGUGCUGUGCCUGGAGUCAGGAAGACUCAUCUACUCAAGUUUUAAUCUGUCCUCAGAUACUGACUAUCUCUGUAACCCUGUGCAAGUGAUUUUACUUUGUUGGCCUCAGUUUCCUCAUCUGCAAAAUAAGCUGGAGAAAGAAAUGGUAAACGAUUCCAGCAUCUUUACCAAGAAAACCCCAAAUGGAGUUAUGAAGAGUCGGAAAUGACUGAAUUGAAUGAACAAUAACAAAAAUAAAAUCAUAGGAUCAUAGAAUGGUAGAGUUGUGAAGGAUCUAGGGAGGCAACUUAGCAUAUGGAAUAUAGAGGUUUGAAUACAAAGUCAGAGGACCUGGGUUCAAAUUUUGCUUCCAUCACUUACUACCCCUGUAACUUUGGACAAUUAUUUCAACUCUUAGGAUCCUGUUUCUUCUGUAAAAAAAAAAGUUUAGACUAGAGAGACAGUCUCUUCUAGCUCUUGAUCAUUGAUCCUUAUGAUCUCAGAGAACAUCUGUUCUAAUAAUCUCAUUUUGCAGAUGAGAAAGCCCAGGCUUAUAGAGUUUAUGUGACCUACCCAAGGUCACACAGCUAAUAAGUAUUAAAGCUAAGGCUAGAGCACAGCUGAUUUCAAGUCCAUUGCAUUUUGUGAACAAAAAUUUCAAGCUAACCUGCUAGAAGUCACAGUUAAUGAAACAUGAUGAGAAAUAAUAGUUCUGAAAUUACAAUAGGAAACAAUGGGAUUUAUAAAUAUUCACUUUACAAGCCCCUUUUUCAGGAACACUUUCAUCAUCUGAAACAGUAAAUGAAAAAGUGGGGGUCCAUGGUCUCCAGUCUGGAGUGGGUAUAGAGGUGGGAAUGGGUAAUGGCCAAUUUUAACAUAUGUGAUGAACCAAUUGAAUGAAAGGUGAAAAGAUGGAUUGCAUCCAGUGGUGUGCUAGAGUCGGCUUGUACCAGCUGGGCUUUAAGAGCCUGUAGAAAUUUAAAUUGUUAAAUUUUCAGUGUGAGCAUUUACACCUCAGAAAUUGGCAAAUGCUACAAAUCAGGGCUUGAUUUCUUAUUUUGCUGAUUGUCAAAACUUUAAGAAAGUAAUGGAGAAAAUGUUAAUAUUGCAAAUCAAACUUAAAAUUAGGCACUUUUUUUUUAAAGCACAGAUUGUUAAACAUUUACUAGUACAUUGCUAUAUCCCAUUCUCCCCAUGACGACCAAUCAUGGGUCUAAUCUCUAACACAAACUUAACUGCUAUUGUCUUCCAAUCCUCCCCAACACUGUCUCCUCCCUCCUCUGUGCAACCUCCCUCAGUGUAAGCCAGAAGU
Monodelphis domestica (gray short-tailed opossum) is the source of this 11891-nucleotide long non-coding RNA. RefSeq lists it as uncharacterized. Lineage: Eukaryota; Metazoa; Chordata; Mammalia; Didelphimorphia; Didelphidae. The record is from RefSeq and is a predicted model, not a curated record.